UGAGCGUCGAGUAUAAUAUCGAGAACAAAUUAUUUCACAACUUCUUUUAUGGUAAUGAAAUAAUUCUACGUUUCUUCUUCUUCCUCUUUAGAACCUGAAAAAAAUAGAAAAAGGAAAAAAAUGGAGUUUUCUGCAAUAAGCAGGACCAGUGCUCCAUUGUUAAAUCUCAAUCAAAGUGUACUCCGUACAAACUGUGUCCCCUCUUUAAAGAAUCCCUAUUCAUAAUUUUCUAUUCCUUUGUCCCCACAAUGUUGGAGCGAGCAAGCAUGGGGUCAGUCAUAUAUAAUUGUCGCCUUUCGAAACCCUAGGAUCAAUAACAGUGUUACCUGAUACAAGGCUUGAGCUAGGAGAUUCCUCCACAUCACUCCAGUUAUCAGUGGUUUAAUUCGUCCAACUGGUUUUUUGUUCAUUAGAUCGCUACUGGGUCGCUCAGUUGCCAAAGCUAAGGCCCCCAGAGUAUCCAUUAUGAGAUUGACCCACAGAAGUUGGACUGCUGUCAGAGGGACUUCUCCAGAUGAAGCAGCAGCAACAAAGUUGAUAACAAGGGCAGCAACAUUUACUUGCAGGAGCAUCAUUUGUUCCAUCGCCUGUUACUGCUACAACAUGGCCUUUCUGCUUCAAGCAUUCAACCAUCAAAAGCUUGUCAAGUGGUGAAGAUCUUGCCAUCACUCGUAUUUUUUCGACAGUCUCCAUCCUC
Solanum lycopersicum (tomato) is the source of this 697-nucleotide non-coding RNA. Lineage: Eukaryota; Viridiplantae; Streptophyta; Magnoliopsida; Solanales; Solanaceae. The record is from RefSeq and is a predicted model, not a curated record.